CUUUGUUAUGAUGAUGGCUAAAUAUGUUCAACUGCUCUGAUGUCUCGGAAGAAAAUAUGCCUAUCUGAACAGAC
Molecule: small nucleolar RNA, 74 nt
Organism: Periophthalmus magnuspinnatus
Lineage: Eukaryota; Metazoa; Chordata; Actinopteri; Gobiiformes; Gobiidae
Product: small nucleolar RNA Z40
Exons: 1
Source: RefSeq, a predicted model, not a curated record